Molecule: unclassified non-coding RNA, 279 nt
Filed under: plant metagenome
Description: partial contains small subunit ribosomal RNA, internal transcribed spacer 1, and 5.8S ribosomal RNA
Source: RNAcentral
UUUCCGUAGGUGAACCUGCGGAAGGAUCAUUACAAAUUACAGGCCCGGGAGGUUAUACCUCCCACCCUUGUGUUGUGUUACUUUGUUGCUGUUUCGAUCGCAAACGCGCCAAAAAAUACCAAAACUCUUUUUAUUAAUGUCUGCUAACUACUAUAUAAUAAUUAAAACUUUAAACAACUGAUCACUUGAUUCUUUCAUCGAUGAAUAGCUCAGGAGAGCGGAAGAUCGCACGUCUACACUCCAGUCACGCAGAGUCAGCGACUCUGCCCGUUUGUGCUU